UACAGGAAAUAACCACGAGAAAGGAAAGGCUGCCCAGCCAGUCUGCUGAGGGCCAGGAAGUUUCCUCUUGAAACUCUUAUUCCAUCUACUUUUAGGGUGCCUCCCAUGCAAUUCCCAGUCCUGCCUGCUCAGCAAUCCAAGGAUUUGGCUCUCCUCAGCAGGAACCAGCAGGGCAUGAACUUCCUGCUGGCAUCACCUUGUUGUGUCCUUCAUCCCUACAAAGAAUUCGGCUUUGGUUGGGGAUUUUGGGUCUGACUGGGUUUUUUUGUUGUUGGUGGUGGUUUUUUGUUUGUUUGUUUGUUUUUGUUUUUUGGGUUUUUUUUUUUUGUCUGGUCAGAGAUUUUUUUGGUCUGGCUGUGGGGUUCUUGUCUGGUUAGGGUUUUUUGUAUCUCACUGGAGUUUUCUUGUCUGGUUGGGUUUUUUUUGACCUGGAUGAGAUUUUUUUUGUCUGGUUGAGUUUCUCUGGGGGGGUGUUUUAGGGGAAGCCAUCACUUCUGCUCAUCACUGCAGCUGCAGAGGGGCCAGAGCAUUUCCAUUCCCUGCACAGUAACUUUCACUGGACACAUGAGGCAGGAGGACAGGACAUGCACGGGGUAAAACCCAGGGCAGAAGGAGCAGGAACAUUCCAGCGUUCUGGCAGAGCCUCUCUGUAGCAGGAAUUGCUGGAGGCAGCUCCCUGACGCACUCGCCGGCAUUCCCAGCGAGAUGGGAGAUACCAGGUCCUAUCUGCAGGAAGGAUCACUCUUGGAAUGAGAGCAAAAGGCCCCUUAUCUCCCUGGGGAGCUUUACAGCCCAAGAUCAGGCAGCUGAGCCCCAAAGAGGGAAUGUGAGCAUGGCCACGGUGGAAAGUUACCUGAGCACAUCCAGAGCCCACGCUGACAUUCCCAUUUGGGAGAGGAGAAAUGGAAAACAGCCAGGGAGAGGGAACAUUGCUGUUCCAGUGGCCUCCGUCCCUGGAAUAACCCCUUAGCAAUGCUAAUUUGGAGCAAGCAAGACAGUUCUGUGAGGGUGUUAGAGCCUCAGGGUGGGUCACAGGAUCCCAGCCCAUUUCCCAGCAUGGAACCUCAGCCUCCUCCAUCUCUUCUCUGCCAUUUCCUGGCAAUAUUCCUUCCCUGGGAUCCCAAUCCCUCAGGAGCAUCCUGCCCCACUGCCCUCACUCCUGGCUGGAGCCAAAGAACUGCAGGAAGAAGGAGAAGAUGUAGAUGAUAUCCAGGUAGAUAUUGAGGGCUCCAAAGAUGUAUUCCUCAGGGCUCAGUGAGUACCGGCGGUUCCCCAUCAGCAUCUGCGUGUCCAGGGCCAGGAACUGGAAGGAAAAGGAGGAAACCCCGGGACAGUGACAGGGAGGUUUGGCCCAGGGAGGCAAGAAGGGCUCUAGUGACAGGAGAAGUCCCCACUGCCUCCCUGAACCUGGGAUGAAAGUGCAGCCCCUUUUUAUGUGCUGGAUCCAAAAUGUAAGAGCUCAGAACAAGCUGCAACUUUCCCCUUCCCUAAUUUCCCUCCUGACAAUCAAACCCCAAGUAUAAUUCCC
This 1528-nucleotide long non-coding RNA is filed under the name Chloebia gouldiae (Gouldian finch). RNAcentral describes it as "Erythrura gouldiae (Gouldian finch) lncRNA (ENSEGOG00005017850.1)". Lineage: Eukaryota; Metazoa; Chordata; Aves; Passeriformes; Passeridae. The record is from RNAcentral.